AUUGAACGCUGGCGGCAUGCCUUACACAUGCAAGUCGAACGGCAGCGCGGGAGCAAUCCUGGCGGCGAGUGGCGAACGGGUGAGUAAUACAUCGGAACGUGCCCAAUCGUGGGGGAUAACGCAGCGAAAGAUGUGCUAAUACCGCAUACGAUCUACGGCUGAAAGCAGGGGAUCGCAAGACCUUGCGCGAAUGGAGCGGCCGAUGGCAGAUUAGGUAGUUGGUGAGGUAAAGGCUCACCAAGCCUUCGAUCUGUAGCUGGUCUGAGAGGACGACCAGCCACACUGGGACUUAGACACGGCCCAGACUCCUACGGGAGGCAGCAGUGGGGAAUUUUGGACAAUGGGCGAAAGCCUGAUCCAGCCAUGCCGCGUGCAGGAUGAAGGCCUUCGGGUUGUAAACUGCUUUUGUACGGAACGAAACGGUCUUUUCUAAUAAAGAAGGCUAAUGACGGUACCGUAAGAAUAAGCACCGGCUAACUACGUG
Molecule: ribosomal RNA, 484 nt
Filed under: uncultured bacterium
Lineage: Bacteria
Description: partial 16S ribosomal RNA
Rfam family: Bacterial small subunit ribosomal RNA
Source: RNAcentral